RNAcentral lists this ribosomal RNA (468 nucleotides) under uncultured bacterium. RNAcentral describes it as "partial 16S ribosomal RNA". It matches the Rfam family "Bacterial small subunit ribosomal RNA", at positions 28 to 507 of the family's 1533-position model. The record is from RNAcentral.
GACGAACGCUGGCGGCGUGCUUAACACAUGCAAGUCGAACGGGAAGGCCCUGCUUUUGUGGGGUGCUCGAGUGGCGAACGGGUGAGUAACACGUGAGUAACCUGCCCUUGACUUUGGGAUAACUUCAGGAAACUGGGGCUAAUACCGGAUAGGAGCUCCUGCUGCAUGGUGGGGGUUGGAAAGUUUCGGCGGUUGGGGAUGGACUCGCGGCUUAUCAGCUUGUUGGUGGGGUAGUGGCUUACCAAGGCUUUGACGGGUAGCCGGCCUGAGAGGGUGACCGGCCACAUUGGGACUGAGAUACGGCCCAGACUCCUACGGGAGGCAGCAGUGGGGAAUAUUGCACAAUGGGCGGAAGCCUGAUGCAGCAACGCCGCGUGCGGGAUGACGGCCUUCGGGUUGUAAACCGCUUUCGCCUGUGACGACGCGUGAGUGACGGUACUGGCUAACGAAGCACAGGCUAACUACGUG